UUUGAUACCCAUUUAUUCCGACGCAAACUUUGCUCUGGCGGCUGCUAGGGUACUACGAUCGCUUAAAACUCAAAGGACUUGGCGGCUUGUUAACUUCCUAGGGGAAUAUGAGCCUUAAUCCGAUGAUCCCCGUAGAAUCUUACUGUGCCUUGAAAGAGUGCAGCUGGUGUAUUGCCGUUGUCAGCCUGUUGUUUGAGCAAGAGUAACGGGCUUAAUGGAGCUGUGUCCAUGAAUUCAGGUCGUAAUACCGCCUAUGGCUCAAGGGAGUAGGUAUUACAGUUUAGAUUUAAAAUUACGGAUCCUUUGAAAUUGAAGGUGAACUUAGUAGUAAGGGAAAAUUAAUAUGUUCCUCUGAAAUGACUCUGGCUUGUGUACAAACUGCCCGUCGCUCUCGGC
Molecule: ribosomal RNA, 396 nt
Filed under: Juxtamusium coudeini
Lineage: Eukaryota; Metazoa; Mollusca; Bivalvia; Pectinida; Pectinidae
Description: partial 12S ribosomal RNA
Rfam family: Bacterial small subunit ribosomal RNA
Source: RNAcentral